RNAcentral lists this ribosomal RNA (253 nucleotides) under uncultured bacterium. RNAcentral's name for it is "partial 16S ribosomal RNA". It matches the Rfam family "Bacterial small subunit ribosomal RNA", at positions 524 to 776 of the family's 1533-position model. The record is from RNAcentral.
UACGGAGGGUCCAAGCGUUAUCCGGAAUCAUUGGGUUUAAAGGGUCCGUAGGCGGCCUGGUAAGUCAGUGGUGAAAGCCCAUCGCUCAACGGUGGAACGGCCAUUGAUACUGCCAGGCUUGAAUUUCCAGGAAGCAACUAGAAUAUGUAGUGUAGCGGUGAAAUGCUUAGAGAUUACAUGGAAUACCAAUUGCGAAGGCAGGUUCGACUAAUGAAUUGAUCGCUGAUGGACGAAAGCGUGGGUAGCGAACAGG